Molecule: long non-coding RNA, 1551 nt
Organism: Papaver somniferum (opium poppy)
Lineage: Eukaryota; Viridiplantae; Streptophyta; Magnoliopsida; Ranunculales; Papaveraceae
Exons: 6
Source: RefSeq, a predicted model, not a curated record
GAAAACCAACUAGAAUGGAUGUUAGAGAAAUAUUAAAGCAAAACUAAGAUACAUAUCAAGAAUACAAAACACAGUUUGGCUAUUUGUCCUCAAAAAGAUAAAUCAAUCAGCAAUUUCCAUUAUUAUUAAUUUUCCCAACCAAAUGUAAGUUUUUCAGUUCUGUAUGGCUUCAUGUUCAUCUCCUUUUCUAACUGCAAGUGGCAGCCAAGAUUUCAUCCCCAAUAGAUAAAUCUACUCUAUGGCUUCCAGUUGCUCAGAUAAAUUGUAUCCUUUAUUCCAACUAUAUUUAUUGAUAAUGAAACGCCCAAAUCUCCCCCUUCUAAUCGCAAGAAUUCUAUAAUUUCGCUCUCUCAUUCUUCCGCUUCCAACACUAAAUCAAAUCCAACCUUACUAUUAGUGAGCAUGAUCUCUAUUUGUGCCUUACCUAAUACGAUCAAUUUCAACCCUUCGCUAACAGAAGCCUAACUGUCCCAAAUCUAAACUGAACAAGAAAGAUUCAAAUGAUCUCUUCAAGUAAGUUUCAAGCGAAGAAGGAAUAAAAGCAGCUGCAUUCAAAUGUAAUAUGUUUGCUCUUUCUACUUUGACUGAAGUGGUUCCCAGCUAUACAGGGAUACACAUCAACCUAACUAUCUGGAUUUCUUCAGCGCUAAUAUAAACCAAUUGAAACGGACAAGAUAAUUUAAUUUUGCUGGCAUCAACAUACUCAUUACCAUUGUGAUAAUGGAAUCAUUAACGGUCGGGGGAGGAUGUGGUGGAAUUUAUAGUAGAACAUAAUACUGGAGUGUCUGACAGGCCACCUGGUUGCAUUAAGGAACUCGCUUAACAUCCUUACUCUAAUCUCACUUUCUGCACCUCUCCCUUCUGGAACAUCCAUCUGUUAACUGCUGGAACGAAGCUUUCCCUUGCUUGACAAUUACGCGGGGAUUAAAUACAGCACAAGCAUACUCGCUGACAAGGGAUUGAGGAAGCCUCUAUGUGACUACAUACAUCUGCUAGCUUAAAGACGUUAGAAGUUUUAUAUUUGGAAAUAGUCGCGGACGGGUAUAUUGAUCUGCUUCUGGAUAAAUAAAUAUUCAAUGCUUAAAUUUUCCACGCACUCCAUAUAUUGGUUAACACUGUAUUUAGCUGACUCUGUAUAAUUUUAAUUUUUAACUGUUCUUAUAGAUUCUGAGCUCUAUUGAGUAAUUUUACUUACAAGCACCUCCAAUCAUCGUUUAUGCGAUGGUGAUUAUAAAUAUUUGUACUUCGUGGUGGGCAGAGCUCCUUCUGAUGAGAAAAAAGACGCACGGCAAGCGCUUCUGAUCCGCUCUAAAUUUUUGACUCGAUGGUGGUUAUUUGUGUAUGUGGCACAAGGGGUGCACAGUUUCCUUGGUUUUUAAUAUAAUUAGUUAUUGUAUGCUGUAAAUAUAUUAUCAUAGUUUUUGUAGUGGCUCCCCUAUUCAGAUGAAAGAUAAUUUUCAGUAUAAUAAGGCAGCAAUUCAUAAAUUGUAGUAUAUCAUUUGAUUUAUAUUAUUUUACACUCAUCGAAGUAUGCUUUAAAUUGUUUCUUGA